AUUGAACGCUGGCGGCAUGCUUUACACAUGCAAGUCGAACGGUAACAGGCCGCAAGGUGCUGACGAGUGGCGAACGGGUGAGUAAUGCAUCGGAACGUGCCCAGUCGUGGGGGAUAACGCAGCGAAAGCUGUGCUAAUACCGCAUACGAUCUAUGGAUGAAAGCGGGGGACCGUAAGGCCUCGCGCGAUUGGAGCGGCCGAUGUCAGAUUAGGUAGUUGGUGGGGUAAAGGCUCACCAAGCCAACGAUCUGUAGCUGGUCUGAGAGGACGACCAGCCACACUGGGACUGAGACACGGCCCAGACGCGUACGGGAGGCAGCAGUGGGGAAUUUUGGGCAAUGGGCGCAAGCCUGAUCCAGCAAUGCCGCGUGCAGGAAGAAGGCCUUCGGGUUGUAAACUGCUUUUGUACGGAACGAAACGGCGAGCUCUAAUACAGUUUGCUAAUGACGGUACCGUAAGAAUAAGCACCGGCUAACUACGUGCCAGCCGCCGCGGUAA
RNAcentral lists this ribosomal RNA (498 nucleotides) under uncultured bacterium. RNAcentral describes it as "partial 16S ribosomal RNA". It matches the Rfam family "Bacterial small subunit ribosomal RNA", at positions 30 to 523 of the family's 1533-position model. The record is from RNAcentral.